UACGAACUGUGCGAACGUUAUUCGGAAUCACUGGGCUUACAGGGUGCGUAGGCGGCUUGUUAAGUAGGGUGUGAAAGCCCCCGGCUCAACUGGGGAGGGUCACGCGAUACUGAUCGACUCGAAGGCAGGAGAGGGUAGUGGAAUUCCCGGUGUAGUGGUGAAAUGCGUAGAUAUCGGGAGGAACACCAGUGGCGAAGGCGACUACCUGGCCUGUUCUUGACGCUGAGGCGCGAAAGCUAGGGGAGCAAACGGG
RNAcentral lists this ribosomal RNA (253 nucleotides) under uncultured bacterium. Its description in RNAcentral is "partial 16S ribosomal RNA". It matches the Rfam family "Bacterial small subunit ribosomal RNA", at positions 524 to 776 of the family's 1533-position model. The record is from RNAcentral.